This 312-nucleotide ribosomal RNA is filed under the name Triticum aestivum (bread wheat). RNAcentral describes it as "partial small subunit ribosomal RNA". The record is from RNAcentral. Lineage: Eukaryota; Viridiplantae; Streptophyta; Magnoliopsida; Poales; Poaceae.
AUGGAGGACGCAGCAACCUCAAAACCUGCUCCAUCCAAUGUUGUUAUCACUCUUCCUGAUGAUGAUGAAGAUGAGGAACCGCUGAAGCACAGAAGGAGUAGGAAAACGUCUGCCGGCAGGGUGCCCCAGGAUGUGACGGUGCCUGAGACUCUGGUCGCGGAGGAGGAGAACACCACUCGACACACUGUGUCCUUCGCAGAUCCACUAACGAGUGCUCUGCAGCCCUCCCUCUUCACGACGCACCACGUCCCAGAGGACCAAGCUGGCGCCGCGAAGGAGGCAAUACGCCAAGCAGGGAUCAUGAUGGAGUAG